UCCCUGGUGGCUUAGCUGGUAAAGAAUCUGCCUGCAAUGUGGAAGACCUAGGUUCGAUUCCUGGGUUGGGAA
Molecule: transfer RNA, 72 nt
Filed under: Capra hircus (goat)
Lineage: Eukaryota; Metazoa; Chordata; Mammalia; Artiodactyla; Bovidae
Also listed under: 1 other name
Rfam family: tRNA
About the family: Transfer RNA (tRNA) molecules are approximately 80 nucleotides in length.
Source: Rfam by way of RNAcentral